CUCUAGAUAUGACAGCUGCUUUAUAGGGGGUAGAGGCGCUUGCUAAAGGACACUAUGAAGAUGUAAUCGGUUCAGUCCAGACCAUGGGAAACUCAGUUCCUUCUGCAGAUAAGGACACAUUAUUGGAGAGGGAGGGGCAAACUGUACAGGCAAAGAGACUUAAGAAGUUUAUAGACCAAUUUGCAUCGAAGUUUGGUUUGUCAAGACCUCUCGUGGCCUUUGUGUUCCUCAGAGCAUCCUCUGUGCUUUGGCUUCUGAGGCCAAUUGCCUGUUCGUUUCCUACCUCCUUUUGCGUUCCUGAGAGAUAAUUGGAUUGGCCCAGGUCCUCUUUUUUGUUCUAGGCUGUAGGUCAGAGGUCAGCCGGUGGACUACCUGGUUUGAUCAUAUGUCCUCCUUUGACUUACUCAGCUGGAGGUAAAGGGCCAAGGGGACCUCAUGAGGAAGGGGUGAUGUGUGCAGCUGCUCAACACCCUGAAAGGCAAUUUGGGGACCAAGAGGGAGAGUUAAUAAACUGACCUAACGCAUU
Long non-coding RNA from Homo sapiens (human), 526 nucleotides. RefSeq annotates it as CMT1A duplicated region transcript 3. NCBI's taxonomy places the organism in Eukaryota, Metazoa, Chordata, Mammalia, Primates, Hominidae. The record is from RefSeq and is marked validated. The transcript has a single exon.